Sander lucioperca (pikeperch) is the source of this 546-nucleotide non-coding RNA. Lineage: Eukaryota; Metazoa; Chordata; Actinopteri; Perciformes; Percidae. The record is from the annotation of a RefSeq genome assembly.
GAGACACUGACAAGCCGGCAGCACGAUGAUGAUGUCACUGAUUCUACUGCUGGCCACCCUGGGGCUCCUUGUUCAGGGUUCAUCAGGAGAAAUCAUCCUGACUCAGUCUCCUGGAUCUCAGUCUGUUGCUCCAGGACAGUCUGUCUCUAUCAGAUGUAAAGCCAGUUCAAGUGUUAGCAAUGACUUACAGUGGUACCUUCAGAAACCUGGAGAAUCUCCCAAACUCUUGAUUUAUAAUGCUCAAUCCCGUCAGUCUGGAGUUUCAGAUCGUUUUAGUGGGACUCAGUCUGGAACUGACUUCACUCUGACCAUCAGUGGAGUUCAGACUGAAGAUGCAGGAGAUUAUUAUUGUCAGCAGGAUUACAGCACCCCGUUCACACAGUGAUACAACGUCGUACAAAAACCUCCUCAGCUGGAGAGGAACUGAUCUGAAUGAACAGCUGCAGAAACCUACAUAAACAGAGACACUUUAGAAGUUUGACUGAUACUGAAGUCUAUAUAACAGAAUAAUGUCAGGAAAUACUGCUCAUACUAUAGUAAGAUAUA